AGGGAUCAUUACCGAGUUUACAACUCCCAAACCCAAUGUGAACGUUACCAAACUGUUGCCUCGGCGGGAUCUCUGCCCCGGGUGCGUCGCAGCCCCGGACCAAGGCGCCCGCCGGAGGACCAACCAAAACUCUUAUUGUAUACCCCCUCGCGGGUUUUUUUAUAAUCUGAGCCUUCUCGGCGCCCCUCGUGGGCGUUUCGAAAAUGAAUCAAAACUUUCAACAACGGAUCUCUUGGUUCUGGCAUCGAUGAAGAACGCAGCGAAAUGCGAUAAGUAAUGUGAAUUGCAGAAUUCAGUGAAUCAUCGAAUCUUUGAACGCACAUUGCGCCCGCCAGUAUUCUGGCGGGCAUGCCUGUCCGAGCGUCAUUUCAACCCUCGAACCCCUCCGGGGGGUCGGCGUUGGGGAUCGGCCCUCCCUCUGCGGGGGCCGUCUCCGAAAUCCAGUGGCGGUCUCGCCGCAGCCUCUCCUGCGCAGUAGUUUGCACACUCGCACCGGGAGCGCGGCGCGUCCACAGCCGUUAAACACCCAACUUUCUGAAAUGUUGACCUCGGAUCAGGUAGGAAUACCCGCUGAACUUAAGCAUAU
This 586-nucleotide ribosomal RNA is filed under the name Trichoderma aggressivum f. europaeum. Its description in RNAcentral is "eukaryotic LSU rRNA". The stretch from base 213 to 366 matches the Rfam family "5.8S ribosomal RNA". Lineage: Eukaryota; Fungi; Ascomycota; Sordariomycetes; Hypocreales; Hypocreaceae. The record is from RNAcentral.